GGAGGGGUGACCGAGAGGCUUAUGGUGGCGGUCUUGAAAACCGUUUUCGCUCAGAAGCGAACGUGGGUUCGAAUCCCACCCCCUCCG
This 87-nucleotide transfer RNA is filed under the name Chloroflexota bacterium. Its description in RNAcentral is "Chloroflexi bacterium (cold seep metagenome) tRNA-Ser". It matches the Rfam family "tRNA". Rfam says of the family: Transfer RNA (tRNA) molecules are approximately 80 nucleotides in length. Their secondary structure includes four short double-helical elements and three loops (D, anti-codon, and T loops). Lineage: Bacteria; Bacillati; Chloroflexota. The record is from RNAcentral.